UCAAAGUCAAAGUACCUCAUUUUGAACAUCCAGAAUUGGUGUUUUUGUCAUAUUUAGAUAUCUUUUUCUCCAAAACAAUAAAAGGUGACAACAAAGUCUCUUUAGAUUAUGUUAAAGGAUGACUUGUACUGUGACUGGAAUAAAUAUUUCAUGAUUUUACUGUAGAAUUUUGGAAAUACUCAAAAUCAAAAUACCUCAUUUUGAACAUCCAGGAUUGGUGUUUUUGUCAUAUUUAGAUAUAUUUUUCUCCAAAACAAUAAAAGGUGACAACAAA
This is a long non-coding RNA of Austrofundulus limnaeus, 274 nucleotides long. RefSeq lists it as uncharacterized. The transcript is spliced from 2 exons. Lineage: Eukaryota; Metazoa; Chordata; Actinopteri; Cyprinodontiformes; Rivulidae. The record is from RefSeq and is a predicted model, not a curated record.